RNAcentral lists this long non-coding RNA (13545 nucleotides) under Medicago truncatula (barrel medic). Its description in RNAcentral is "long non-coding RNA (MTRU_LNC002731)". Lineage: Eukaryota; Viridiplantae; Streptophyta; Magnoliopsida; Fabales; Fabaceae. The record is from RNAcentral.
AAGGUUCUAUCUAAUUUAAAUUUCUUAUUUUUGUUCUAAUUUGUUAUGUAUGGAGUGUGUGUAUGCAUAUAUCAUGACGAUAAAAUUUCACAUUUUUAAAGGGGGUUUUCUACAAAUAUCAGAACUAUUAAUAAUUUCCACACAACAUACUUUUUUAGAAAGUAGCCUUUUCAACGUAAUAUUAAAUGCCAACCAUCUAAUCUUAUAUUUUUAGUUUCAAAUGCUAGUAAAAAAAUUUGUACUAAUAUUUAACACAAUAUUUGCAUAGUUAACUAAGAUUCAAUGAUUGGAUGGCCCAAAAUAUUUUUUCAGAGGAUUUUUUAAGUGGUGUGUGUAUGGUCUUAUGUUUGCACCAAUUGAUUCUAUUCUACAUGCAUACCUGUUUGCAUGCAUAAGUACAUGUCCUGAAAUUUUAUGCGAUGAUGGAUAUGUUUUUGACAGUUGAAAGGAUUUGAGUUCAUAAAAGCAGUCCAUCUUGACCCAGUUCCAUUUGAUAUGGAACGUGACCUUAUCACUCCAACAUAUAAGAAGAAGAGGCCCCAGUUGCUUAAAUACUAUCAGGUAAAAGUUGUCAAAUUCUCAGGAUUUCAUUUCUGCUUCAAAAAUUAUUUCUGCUUUAUUAUUAUUGGAAUGGAUAGAAUGAGCUGUCUUUGUGUAUAUAACCUUUUUUUUCUUCCGGAUAUUUUCGUUCGACUGAGCAUAUAUAACUGAACACAGGUGUAGAAAUCUCAUCUGAUUGAGUUGACCAAGAGUCAGUUUUUAGAUGUCAUCUGCACCCAUGUUAUUAGAUUAGAUGUGAAUCAUAGUGCAACUGAUGUGCCCUGUUUCACUAUUAAUAUCAUAUUAGUUAUGAAUCAGUUACAUUACAGUUCAGUUAAAGUAGUCACUUCACUUACACUUGGCUUGUACAAGUACCUGUUCACAUAAGAAAGUUUGUUUCUUCUCGUAUUUCAUGUAUAGGUGUAGUUAACUAGUUAUGUGCCAAACAGACUUGAAACUGAACACUCGACAUGGUAGCUGAAUCCUAAGUAAUUUGGAAUACCUAACGUGAAUGUGUAAGUAAACGAGUAAAAUGUUUACAAGUGAUUAUCCUCUAAUUAAUAGUUGUUAGCAUACAAUUCUAUUUCCACUUCACUUUCAAUUGCAAUUUUCCAUUGCACUUUUAACGUUUCAAAGCCUGUUUUAAGGACUUAAUAAUUUCUGUAUUCUGAAAGCACUGACUGCUAUUUUAUUUGUGGCACAGAAUGUUAUUGAUGACAUGUACAAAAGUGGAAAUAAACCCCGUGCCUGAGAGAUGCUUUUGGAGUUGGUGCCAUGCCAUGUAGAUAAUUCAUUUUCUGCAUGUGAUUGUGCUUGCCUUUGUUCAUUUAUUAUUUCCUUUUGGUUAUUGUCUGUACAUAUGAUUAUGAAGAGACGGCAGAUGAUCUGCCUCACUCAACCGUGAAAGAUACGAUAAUACAAAGUUUAAACAAAUUGUUUUCUUCACCUCUAGCAAUAUUCGUUGCAAACUUUUGUUAGGAAAAUAAAAUAUUAUUCCAUUCCUUAUCAAAAUUAACAGUGGUGUAGUUCUUGUUUUUUACUUAGUGAUGUUUUCAAAGAUUUAUACAAUAAGCAGUGAAUGUGAAUUAUAACUGUUUGUUUUAAUGUUUAUAAUUGAUUGGUUGGACACUCCUUACUCUUUCUUGUUAGUUCUUCUGAAAGCAGUUCCAGAAUCCACCAUUCAUAUAAUGGAGAAUGUGUUUUUAAAGCUAGAGUAUCUCAAUCAUCUUAUAAUGGCUGUGGAGUUGUAUUCAGUGCAGUGAUAAUUUUUCUCAUGUUACUCAUUUGUGGGAUUUUCUCUUUUGUGGUAACACGAAGUGCCUCACGGACCAUGGUGACGUAUUAAACAGGGCACAGGACAAAUCAUCUAUUAGGGAAUAAAUUGGGAACUACAACACCUUCAUUUGAUAUUUUACAAUUACAUAAAUGGUAUUGUAGCUUCUUUUGAUACAUGAGAGUUUGGUGGAUGUAAAAAGAGAUAAUAAGGGACGUUAAUAAGAAAAUAAAGAAAUCUACAACUCGAGAGCUGGAAGCAAACACUCAAAAAGCAGAUUUUUAAAGCUGGCACCUUCACGUGUAGCUGUGUUGAUGGAAUCAUCAUUCAUUAUCCAUCGUACACGAGCUUAGAUUGAGAUUUUGUAUCACUUUAACGUUGCUAAGAAGAAUAUAAGAAAACAAGAUCGGGAUACACCAAUAAAGGAUCGAAAAUUUAAGGUUUUUGCGUUUAUUACGAAAUGUGAACCCUGUGGUAGUGUGGCUAUGUUCCAGAGUUGGAUUUUGGAGACAAAUGGAGAAAGAGUUAAUUUACAUUUUUUAACUGUUAUUUUUCUUUUACCCCGACAAGCUUAAGGUGACAAUGGAGUAAAUACAAUCAUGAAUGCGAUGAAAAAAGUUUCGAGGAACAAGUUAACCCAAAAACACAACCUGACUCUGAACUCCAACAGUUACACAGCUAGGACACAUAAAAAAACAUGAAAUUAAACAUUACCAAGACAGCCAAAAAAAAAAAAAAAAAAAAAAAACAUGAAUUUAAAUACAACCCCAUAUACCCAAAAAUCAAAAUUUGAAAUUCAAAAAUUGGAAAAAAGAAAAGGGGGAAGAAUGAAAAUCAACAGAAAAAGAACCUUCUUGGAAGCGCGAGUGAGAUUUUGUUGUUGAACCGUUCGUUUCAUAAACACAAGCUUCCAACAAUUUCGUAUUCUUCACAAAGGUAUAAUUAGUGUGAAAUUCACAAAAUUGGUUUGUGUUUUGUUUCUUAUGAGCGGAAUCGGGAAGGGAUGGUUUCGUCUAGUUCUUAAUGAAGGUCAAAGUGUAAAAUGAGGAUAGAUCUACUAGAAGAAAUGAAGAAUACAUAUACAUAUUCAUCAUUUUUUAAACCCAUAACAAUUAAUCAUGAAUAGAUGAAGGUUUAGUUUUUUUUUUUUUUUUUUUUUUUGGUUGGAUCGGAAGAGAUGAAGAUAUAAUGAUUGAUAUGAAGGAUGAAGAUGAAGAAAUGAAAGUUUAUUUUUUAUUUUUUUCAUUUAUUUAAUUUAGAAAAUAAUUACAUGACUAUUUUAUUUUAUUUUAAUUCAAUAAUUACACAUAUGGCUUGCCAUGCAAGUGUUAACUUGGUCAAAUUGACCAAAAAGGCUAAUAUGGUAAAUGAUGCUAAUUCAUAGAGGACUAAAUUUGUUAGUUUUUUUUUUUUUUAAUAAGAGUCAAAAUUACAACAUUUAAAAUGUUAAGAGGCCAAAAGUACACUUAAACUAAAACAAAUAUCUACAUUGUUAUUUAUAGUACAAUCAAUUUUAAGUCAAAACAAAACCUAUGACCGACCGACCAAUCGAAAAGGCAGUGACAAUACACAAUAAUUUGGAUAAAAAGACAACCAAUCAGAUAUAUUCUCUCAAGAGAAAAGAAAAAUCCAUUAGAUAUAUUUAGGGAUGUAAAUGAAUAUCCAUAGAUGUGUAGAUAGUGUGAUAUCCGUGUACGUUCUGUUGGACAAAUAUAAAAUCCGCGCCCUAUCCAUACCCACGCAAAUAUCCGUUUAGCGGGUAAUCCAUGGAUUUUGAGGUAUAUGCGGGUUUAUACAGAUAUCCAUGGAUAACAUUUAUUAAAAAAAAAAAACUUGUUAAUUUUUUUUAGCUAGAAUUUAAAAACAAAAGUUCAUCACAUGCAUUUUCUUUUCUUUUUAGCAAAACAUAAUAUCCGUACAUCAUAAUAACACAAAGAUCAUUGACUCAACAAAAACAUAAUUAACGUUCCUUAUAUUUAAUAAAAAUAAAGUUCUUUGAUCUGAAAAAUUAAAUAAAGCUUAUCAUAUUCAACAAAAACAAAGCUUCUUGCUUCAACAAUCCCGACCACUUUCCCUUCAUUUUAAAGGAGCGUAAUACAUACUUGAACAGUCGUGCAAUAACUAAUAACAACUCACUAACGAAGUUUGUUGCUUAGGAAUUUGAAUGAUAUUAAAGUUAUUUAUAAAAUUUACUCGAUUUAAUAGCGGGAUAGAUAUCCCCGGAUGCGGGUACCAUUAAAUCUGCAUCCGUAUCCAUUAAUUAGUGGGUAGUUUAUCCAUGGAUAUCCGUUAAAGUAUCCACUCCAUAUCCGUGACGGAUUUUAUCCAUGAAUAUUUACGGGUGCGGAUUUUUUUUUCAUCCCUCAGGACAUUUGUUUGUUUGUUUGUGUUGUAUUAAACAUUUUUCAAUUUACCAAAAAGAAGAGGACAACAUUUUAGUUUUACUCACUUGCAUGAGUCUUUUUUCAAAGUGACUUAGAUCGAGAGUUGAGAAUACAUGGCAUAGACUGUGAUAGACACAAUUUAAAAAAAUCAAUAUGUCAACUUUGAUUAAGACUCAAUUUUAACCAGCAAUUACGCUGAGCGCUCAUAUUUCUUCUCUCAUUUUCCAUAAUAAUACCUUUCUCUCUCCUUUUCUUACUUUUUCCUAUGCAUGCAUCCACCGCUAAAACGUGUUCUAGUGGGAGAACUGUUCUCUACAGUGUCAUCCACCUUAUUGAUCUCCAAUGCAUACAACAUAAGCACAUGUUCUUGUAUUCUAAGAACACUAAGAAAUAACAUUUAAAAUUUCUCAUUCUCCGCUUAACUUAACCAUUUUUCUCAUCGCGAUCAUCGUUGAGCCAUGGCGCAGAAAAGAUUCAUCAUUGAGGUUGAAAAAGCGAAGGAAGCAACGGAAGAUAAACCUUCAAGAGGACCUGCGUAUCGUAGCAUCUUCGCUAAAGAUGGUUUUCCUCCUCCUAUUCUUGGUCUUGAUAGUUGCUGGGAUGUUUUUCGGUUAGUUUUUCAUCUUUAUUUCGAUGCAAAUCUAUAUUCAUUUCAUCAAUUUUAUGUGAAUUUGAUAGUGUGAUGACUUGAGUUGAAGUUAUUCGUUCCUUAUUUAAUCUUCAUUUCAUUUUUCUUUCUAUGUACAUAAUUAGUAGAUUGAGUAAGACUAGCUACACUCUCUCUUUAAUACUAUUGUGUGAGUCUACACUUUGAAAAUUGAACUAGAUCAUAUUCUGUUUAUUUAAAUUAUUUUAAUUUUCGUUGAAUUUUUAUGCUAAUUUGCAAAUCAUAGCUCUCUGAUCUGAAUCAUCAUAAUAUCAUAACUAGUUGUAACAUUCAGAGUGAGUAAAUCAUAUUUUGUUAUAUUUGGUUUCUCAAAUUUUCUUUCUAACAUUGGAGAAAUAGUGUUUACUAAUCUUUUAUGUGUGUGCGCGCGCAUAGAGGACUUGAAUAUUUGAUUUAAAGUUCGAUUGUUAUAGUUUUUUUAAGAAAAAAAAAUCACUUUUAAGGUGUUGCAUCGUUUGUUACCACUUUUUAAUAAAAUCAGAAUCUAAAAACAGUUUCUUAAUAAGAAACUGUUAAGAGCAGUUUCUAGAAAAAAUAGAUUUUUUUUAGUGGAGAGAGAAAAUAUGGUUUAAAAUAUUAAAUUAAUUUUGUAACAAAAAAUCUCUUUUAUAAGUUUGUAUCCAAACAAACUAAAUUAUUUGUUUAUACGGUAAACAAACAAACGUAAAAUAGAUUCUGAUUUUUCAUAAAAUCUCUAAAAUAUAAUCUCUAAAUUAUUUUAUGUCAAAAUCACUUUUAUUUUAAUCCGUAACAAACCAGCCUUUAAUUUUGGCUCGAUUUUGGACUAAGUAUAAGUCAUGUAUUACUUCAGUUUAAGUUAAUGUUAAAAGAAAAUAAGUGUUGUAUGUGCAGAUCGCGACAAAUAGAGGUUCUGUUAUAACGUCGUAUAGCCGCUGUUUGACAAGAUUUUGUAAUAAUAAAUAGCUUAUCAUGGAACAAUACCUAUUUCUUCAAAUUCUGCUAUACUAUAGUUUUGCUUUUUAACAACACUAGCAAAAAUUUGGACCUGUAUUGAUAAGAAAUUAGUCGUUUCAGUUCUAAUUGUAUCAGUGCUUUUACAGAUUGUCUGUUGAGAAAUAUCCAAAUAAUCCUAUGCUUGGUAGCCGAGAGAUUGUGGACGGGAAGGUAAAGUAUUGGUUACUGUAUAAAUCUUUAAUUUUUUAUUUUUGGAAAUUUUCAUGCCAUAGCUUGACUGGUCAUGGAUUUUGACUUAUUUAAAUGCUCGCAUGUUAUUAUUACACUUAACAGCAUGGCAAGUACAAGUGGCAAACAUACAAAGAAGUAUAUGACAUGGUGAUCAAAGUCGGAAAUUCUAUCCGCAGCUGUGGUUAUGGAGAAGUAAGUCUUCUGUCUCUUCUCUUGAUUACCAGAAAAUGAAACCUUGUUUUGUUUUUGGUUAUUUUAAUAGCAUUUUCUUCUUUGUAUGUUUUUCAAAUUCUUGGAUUCUCUGUACAUGUUGGGUUGUUCAUUAUUUAAUAUCUACAAUCAGCAUUGACGUGCAAUGUUAAAAUUGUGUGGUUUCAUGCAAUUGGUAGCUUCAGAUACCUCUUAUUUUAUUUCUUUGAACAUUUAUUAUUGAUAAUGUUACUAUCUGCAUCAUAAAUAGUUCAAUAGUUAUUCACUUACCAAGAACAUGUUCAUGUGAGUUCAAUUGCUUAACUCAUUGUCACAGAUUUUUCUGAUGAACUUAAGCUGACAAAUUUGCCUAAUAUGAUUUUGACAUUUCACUUUUGCAUAUACUAAUUAUUUAUAUUGAUUAGUUUUUUUGAGCUUAAUUCGUAUAUUUCUGGUUUGCAGGGUGUAAAAUGUGGUAUUUAUGGUGCCAAUUCUGCAGAGUGGAUUAUGAGCAUGGAGGUACAUUUUAUUUUGAAUUUCUUUCGUCUUGGUUUUCUUUUAAAUUUUUCCAAUUCUAAACCGUUUUUUUUCCCCAAUCUUUCUCUUGCCGCCUGAUUGACUGAUGCCUCCCAUUGAAGGUCUUAUUUUGUGGUUUCAAUCCCUUACAUGGCAGCACGAAAUUAGGGAAAAGUUCCUUAUUGUGUGAUCCAGCCCAGCCCAUCUGUGAGGCAUUGUGAUUUUUUCUUCCAAAUAUUGAGUCAGUUCAACGGACCCCAAGAGUCGAGACGUCAUCCAUGUUAUGCACUCUCAUUUGGAACCUUAUUUCCGAUUUAAAUCCCCCAAAAUGUAUCCUAAGAGUUGUUCAUCUUGAACGACUCCAUCUUGCACUUCGAAGUUCUACACAUGCUCCUCCACUGAGUCCGUCCGAUCCAAUGUGUCCAACUUUUUCCCUCUUGUUUCUCCCUAAACCUUCUAAUCAAAGUCAUUGUAGAGGCUUUGCAACCAGUUAUAGGCUUUAAUUGAGCAAAAACUGAAAUUGAUUGUUGUCGCGCUUCCCAUUUUCUAGAUAUUAAUUUGUAAGGCAACUGCAGUUUCGCUGCCAAACUUUGCACCUCAAAGAUUUUCUCCAACUCUGCAAUCAACUUUCCUUCUCCAAGGCUCCAACUUUGUCCACACCUUCCCGGAUCCGAUUUGUACUCUUCUAACCUCCUUUUCAUUUACCUAUCCUAUUAACCCAUUCCAACACAAUACAUCUGUUUUUCAACUGUCCUUCCCUUACCUCUCCUAGAAUACACUUUUAAUGCCCUCUCUCCUUAAUACAAUACAUUCACUCUGUUGCAGAUUAUGGUAAUAUUUGUUUUUUUUUUUUUUGGUUUUAUACCCGUUCUUAUUUAUUUCUUUGUCUCCUAUGUUUUCUUUUGGUUUUUAUUGUCUGUCAGUAGUCCUUGUUGAAUAUAAAGGGCAAUAAGUUGUUUCUUGAUUGAAACUCUGUUUCAUCUUUUGAAUGUCUACUUUCUACAGUGUUCUGCUUCUAUUAUUUAUUGCUCUUGUGCUUUCGCAGUGCUGUUAGUGGACAUCCCUGGUCGCCUUGUUAUAGUAUUCCUUUUACUAGCUUCUUCCACUCGAUUGUUAUAAAGUUUUAAAUAUUCAAAUAAUUGCAGGCUUGCAAUGCUCAUGGACUUCAUUGUGUUCCUUUAUAUGAUACCUUAGGUAUGUGUAAACGUUUAGCAUGUUUGUACACAGUGAUGGUGCUUUGUCCGCAAUUAGCAAUUGAAUUUUGGUUUCCAAACCUGUUGUACAUGAGAUUUUACACUUUGAUGUUAUUAGAAAAGUUGCAACGUUUUUGUCAAUAUGGCAUUUUUUGCUGACUUUCACCCAAGCUCACCAAUUUAUGCGAAAAACUUACCUGUACUAUUAACAAAGUUCCUUAUAUUUUGAUAAAAAAAAUAUGCAAGUUCUAAAUUCACACAUUAUUAAGAACUUUGAUGUCUAUCUGGCAUAUUUUUGUUUUUAUCCCUUGUGAUUUUAUAAAAAAAAAAAGUGAUUUCAUUGAUCAAUUCUUUGAAAAUCUUACCUACUUUAUGAGCAAAGUUUUUUUUUUUUAUUGCUGAAAAAUUACUAAACCUUCACCGAAAUUUGUCAGUUGCCUAAAAUUGUGAUAAACUAUCUCACAGCAAUAAUAACUUGUUUGAAAUUUAUUACAGUACUAUGCAGGAAAUUAGUGGGACUCACACUUUGGAAAUGAGUUAUAAAUAAAGUGGUGGGACCCAUGUGGAUUUGACCCGAUAAAAUGUGGGUGUUAAAAGAGUGUUUUUAGCAUUUAAUACUGGUUGAAUGUCCCAUAGUCUAGAUAUUAAUCAGUAUUUUGGUAGGUUAUUUUUCCACUUCGCCGAAAAUAAAUGCCAUUCUAAUAUUUUCAAAUUCAGUUUUCUAAUUUUGAAUUUCCAAUUAUCACUGGUUUUGACACUCUCAAACAUAUAUGACUUAGGUUCUGGGGCCAUAGAAUUUAUUAUAUGCCAUGCAGAGGUCUCAAUUGCAUUUGCAGAAGAAAAGAAGAUACCUGAGGUUCAUCUAUUGAAAUAAUCUAUUUCUUAGUAGUUUAUUUUUGGGAAGGAUCAGAGAGUUGAAUACACUUUUCUUUGAACAGUCUGUCUGAUCCCUAUCUUUAUUUUAAAAACUUUUCAGCUAUUGAAGACAUUUCCAAAUGCAACCAAAUAUCUCAAGAGUAAGUGUUUUUUAUUAUCUUCUUUCUUUGCUAAAAUACAUGUGCUUUAGAGAGAAGCAAUGACUUUUAUGUUUCUAUACAGCAAUUGUGAGCUUCGGAAAGGUUACCCCUGAACAAAAGCAAGAAGUUGAAAAGUUCGGACGGGCAAUAUAUUCAUGGACUGAAUUUUUACAAUUGGUGAGUUAUUCAUUUCAUGUAUUAUUACUCGUUCUACUCUUACUUGAAAAUUGGACAUGAAAGCUGCUCCAUGUAUAAUCAAUUGGCAUUGCCUGCAAUUGCUGAGCCCCUUUGCAGCAUAAAUAGUUGGUUGAGUUGUAUCACUAUCUUGGUCCACCGGCAGUUAGUCUAAGUAAUAGCGGAAUGUGUGGAAAGAAAUAAGUUAACAUAAUUGUUAGUUGUUACGCAAUUCAAGUAAGAAAAAUAAGGAUGAUAUCAGGUCAAUGGAAACUAAUGCAUUGUUUGAAUAGUUGACUUGGGUCAAUUUUUGUAGAUACAUAUGCAUUAGAAGUUAUUUUUCUAAACCUCAUUACAAGUAUGGCUAGCAGAAAUUAAUGUCUCUUUUGCUACUUCUAUAAACAUAUUGUGGUUUCCAUUCCUAAUUUGACUUUUAAUACUUGCCACAGGGUGAAAGUCAGAGUUUUGAUUUACCUGUAAAGAAAAGAAGCGAUAUUUGUACAAUAAUGUAUACUAGCGGAACUACUGGUGACCCCAAGGGAGUAUUGAUAUCCAAUAGGAGUAUUAUUACCCUCUUAGCUGGGGUGAAGCGGCUAUUGGAGAAUGUCAAUGAUAAAGUAAAUAUUUAUCUUUUAUAUUUCAUUUGUAACUACAUGAAAUUGAAUGCACUGAGCACUUCGUAUGCACAAUUUCUUUUCAUUUAAUUUAUGCAUAUUAUAUAUCUAAUUUCAAAGCUCUGGAUGUAGUUUUUUUUCUUUUUCUUUUCAGGUUUAAGAUACUAAACGCUCAAGUGUCCUUUCUUUGACUUACAAAAUCUCCCCUCUUUUUUCUUUGUUUACAGUUGACCGAGAAGGAUGUGUACUUAUCAUACCUUCCUCUCGCACAUACCUUUGAUAGGGUCAUUGAGGAGACAUUUAUAUGGCAUGGUGGUUCAAUAGGCUUCUGGUGCGGGGUUAGUAUAUGUACUAAACUUGUCGUUAAUUCAUAGUGAUAAUAAUUGAACUUCAGAUUUAAUUUUAUCACCCCAAGAAGACAAAAAAUGAAAUUUUUUUGGAUUUGAAUAUGUCCUUGUCCAUCAUUUGUACUAUGGCUGCAGGAUGUUAAGUUGUUAAUUGAAGAUCUCGGGGAGCUAAAACCAACUUUUUUCUGUGCGGUACCUCGUGUACUUGAUAGAGUGUACUCAGGUAUGCUCUUCUGAUACCAUGUAAAUCAUCCCCCCCCCCCCCCCACACACACACACACACACACUUCUUACCUAUUUUUCUGAGCUGCCACCCCUUUUCCCAGCUAGAAAAAAAAGUAUAUUAAGAUUCUCAACUUCGGUAUGCAGGUUUGACACAGAAAAUUAUUUCUGGAGGCUUCCUGAAGAAGGCAUUAUUCAACUUUGCUUAUUCAUAGUAAGUACUAAUUGAACUUCCAUGAAUCCUCUAUAAGAUAUUAGGAAACCAUGAGUGUUCCUUUGUCAAAUCUUGCAGAAAUUAUCUUUUAGAUUUGUGUUAAUUUUCCUAAUUAGGUUGUUAUAUUUAACUAUUGGUCGUCCCAGUAAGCAUUGCACUGUUCUAAAUAACUUAAGCUCUGAGAAUUUAUUGCAGUAAGUUGAAUAACAUGAAGAAAGGACAAAACCAUGCAGUAGCAUCUCCACUUCUUGACAAAAUUGUGUUCGAUAAGGUAGUAAAGUCUACAAAUAUUAAUUAAUUACCAGCCGCAGUUUGACAGCAAUGUAUUUUCUCAAUUUGGCUGAUUUGGUUUUGCAAUUUUAUUAGGUGAAGCAAGGUUUAGGGGGUAGUGUGCGUCUUAUUUUGUCUGGAGCAGCACCUCUAUCCUUGCAUGUGGAAAGUUACUUACGGGUGGUGAGUUGUGCUCAUGUCCUACAAGGAUAUGGUAUGCUCUUUCUGUAUUUGAAAAUUUAAAUUCACCCGUGCAAUAAGCACAUAGAUAUAUAGUUUAAUCUUUAAUUGUGUUUAGCCAAGUCUGGUUUUGUAUUUCAAUUGCUGAAUAUAUGGAUAUAACUGUUGAUUAAUUUGAGAUGAGAUGUGACAAUUAGCAAAUUAAUUUUAGUCUUAAUGUAUGUUUUUAGAAAUAUAAAUAGUCUAACUGAAAUCUAUGUGGAAAUUAUUCUGAUGUUUCUUCACUCCAAUGCAGCAUAUGUAAUAAUGUUGAUAUCAGCAUAUGUACUAUGGACUUCACUAAUGUGUCUUUGUUACUAAUGUGUCUUUGUUGAAAUGAAAACAGGUCUGACUGAAACCUGUGCGGGAACCUUUGUCUCAUUACCAAAUGAACUAGAUAUGCUUGGAACAGUGGGUCCUCCUGUACCAAAUGUGGAUGCAUGCCUGGAAUCUGUUCCUGAAAUGGGUUACGAUGCCCUUGCAAGCACGCCAAGAGGAGAAAUUUGUGUAAAGGGAGAUACCUUGUUUUCGGGGUACUACAAACGCGAAGAUCUCACAAAAGAGGUUCUGGUUGAAGGAUGGUUCCAUACAGGUUAUUGGUGUUUUCCAAAAUUGAACUAUAUAAAUACUAUUUAAAUUGGCUGUUGGAUCACAUUUUGAAGUUUAUAUUCUUUUAAAGGCUAAAAUAUGGUUUUAGUCCCUGCAAAUAUGCCUCGUUUUGGUUUUAGUCCCUGUAAAAAAAAAAAAUUGUUUUUGGUCCCUGCAAAAUUUUUUGUUUUUGAAAGUAGUCCCUGGAGGGACUAUUUUCAAAAACAAAAAAUUUUACAGGGACCUUUUUUAAAAACAAAAUAUUUUGCAGGGACCAAAAACUAAAAAAUUGGUUCAGUUAUAAUGUGCCACGUAUGCAAAUCAUCACAAAAGUGGGGUCAGGGACUAUUUUCAAAAACAAAAUUUUACAGGGACCAAAAACAAUUUUUUUUUUAUAGGGACUAAAACCAAAACGAGGCAUAUUUGCAGGGACUAAAACCAUAUUUUAGCCUCUUUUAAAUUGCGUGAUUUAUUCAACAGGGGACAUUGGAGAGUGGCAACCUAAUGGAAGUAUGAAGAUUAUUGAUCGGAAGAAGAAUAUAUUCAAGCUUUCACAAGGAGAAUAUGUUGCCGUUGAAAACCUGGAGAAUAUUUAUAGCCAAGUUCCUUCUGUUGAAUCUGUAUGUCUUGAGAGCCCUUCCAAUGGUUUUAGUGUCCGAGCUUGUAGUGAAAUUAUUCCCCAUAUAAAGUUGAAAAAUAUAUCUUUUUGCUCAUACUAUAUGAAUUGAUGAACCCGUUGGUUCAUUAUAGAAUUAUAGAAACUGUGCCCUUGAUGGGCCUGGGACAAAUGGGGCCAAUCUUGAGCAGCUAAUAUUUUUAGCUCAGUUUGAUAAUUUUUAAUUACGGAAUUCAAAAUAUAAGCAGGCUAUAGACUGAUGCAUAGUUAAUGCAGAGACGCCUAUCUCUAGGCGUGGAUAUAUUUCUCUCUUGCCUUAACAUAAUCUAAAUUACAUUCUUAUUUCUUGCUGGACAUAUAGUUCUGUAACUGUACUGAGCUUUAAAUUUCCACCAGCAGCAGACUAUGUUGCCCAUAGUCCUAUGUGCAACUGUGCACAGAUUCUGGUCCAUAUUGGUAUACUAUUACAUUAGUGUCCGCAUUCUGUAGUUCAUUAUGAUCAUUUGUCCAAUAAAUAGGACUAUUCUUGUUGCAUGUAGUAGCUGUACAAUUAUUCAUUGAGACAUCCAUAUGUAUCAGCACAUAAACACACAAAAAAAGUCUCUACUUUCAGCUUCAUUUCAUGAGUUAAAAUUGUUCUGUUCUGUGCUGAUUUGAACUUUUAUUCCUCCUCUCUCAGAUAUGGGUUUACGGAAACAGUUUUGAGGCCUUCCUUGUUACUGUUGUUACCCCCAGCAAACCAGCACUUGAACAUUGGGCAGAAGAAAAUGGUAUAUCCAUGGACUUUAAUUCUCUCUGUGGAGAUUCUAGGGCAAAAAGUUACAUACUUGAAGAGCUCUCAAAGAUUGGAAAGGAAAAGAAGGUUCUAAAUUUCUUAUUUUUGCUCUAAUUUGAUAUUAUGGAGUGUGUAUGCUUAUAUCAUGCUGAUAAAUAUUCACAUUAAUUAUCACGACUAUUAAUAAUUCCCACACAACAUACUUUUUUAGAAAGUAGCCUUUUCAACGUAAUAUAAAAUGCCAACCAUCUAAUCAUGUACUUUUAGUUUCAAAUACUAGUAAAAACAAAACUAAUAUUUAACACGAAAUAUUAACACAGUUAACUAAGAUCCAAUGACUGGAUUGCCCAAAAUAAUUUUGGUCAGAGAAUUUUUUAAGUGGUGUGUGUAUGGUCUUAUGUUUGCACCAAUUGAUUCUAUUCUACAUGUACACGUGUUUGCAUGCAUAAGUACAUGUCCUGAAAUUUUAUGCGAUGAUGGAUAUGUUUUUGACAGUUGAAAGGAUUUGAGUUCAUAAAAGCAGUCCAUCUUGACCCAGUUCCAUUUGAUAUGGAACGUGACCUUAUCACUCCAACAUAUAAG